This 449-nucleotide ribosomal RNA is filed under the name uncultured bacterium. Its description in RNAcentral is "partial 16S ribosomal RNA". It matches the Rfam family "Bacterial small subunit ribosomal RNA", at positions 354 to 796 of the family's 1533-position model. The record is from RNAcentral.
GUCGAGAAUCUUUCACAAUGGGGGCAACCCUGAUGGAGCGACGCCGCGUGGAGGAUAAGGUCUUCGGAUUGUAAACUCCUGUCAUGCGUGAACAAGGUUGCUUGGUUAAUACCUGGGCAAAUUGAUGGUAACGCAAGAGGAAGAGACGGCUAACUCUGUGCCAGCAGCCGCGGUAAUACAGAGGUCUCAAGCGUUGUUCGGAGUCACUGGGCGUAAAGGGUGCGUAGGUGGAGUGGUAAGUCAGAUGUGAAAGCCCGGGGCUCAACCUCGGAACUGCAUCAGAUACUGCCAUGCUAGAGUACUGGAGAGGUGACUAGAAUUCUCGGUGUAGCAGUGAAAUGCGUUGAUAUCGAGAGGAAUACCAAAGGCGUAGGCAGGUCACUGGACAGUUACUGACACUGAGGCACGAAGGCCAGGGGAGCGAACGGGAUUAGAAACCCGAGUAGUCC